Molecule: long non-coding RNA, 1080 nt
Organism: Terrapene triunguis (Three-toed box turtle)
Lineage: Eukaryota; Metazoa; Chordata; Testudines; Emydidae
Exons: 3
Source: RefSeq, a predicted model, not a curated record
UUCCUCAUUUUGAAGUUAUGCAGUCACUACUGCUCAUCCAAGAGAACAGCUGAGGUUGUCAUGGUCCAGACCCAAAAGCAGCACUGUAUGUGGUGAACAUCAUCAAAUAUUGCCUGAAUCCAACAACUCCAGAGGUGGGAGGUAUACAGCUGUUGCAGCAAUAAUUCCAAGAGCUGCUGGUCUUGCUCUCUGGCUGUCCAUUGGUCCUGCUAGAACACUCUCCACUGCCCUAUUGCAGCUGCCUCAAUCACCAUGCAACUCUUCAAAGACUGGAGCAAAUUCUUUUCUUUCUGAACAAAGAGCAAGAACUGACCAUGCAUGCUGACCUCCAUUUUCAGGAAAGGACUGGGAAAUAGCACUGGUUCCUGCAGACUUGUGGGAUUUUCCAAGGGAUUUAAGGAAUCAACAUCUCCUACAAAGUCUAUGCUGGGAAAAAUGCUGAAGGAAAGGAAAAUAAUGUCAGCCGGUGGUGUCAUCCCUCAUGGAAAACAUUCUGAGGGAUUUGGGAUACAAUACCAAGAUCUGUCCCUGGCUUUCUUCACAUGGGUUCCUAGAUGGUGACUCCAUGUCUUUGAAAGAGUAGAUUUCUCAUCUCAUCCACCCGACGCUACACCUUUUAAUUCUUUCCACCAUCCCAGAACUCAAAAGGUAACCUAUCUGACACCUCCCACCCUCUGUCAUGCCCCCAGAACCAGACUCUCUUUUUUUCCUCCCCAAAGCUGAUAGCAAGAGAAUAUCACCAUUUUUCAAAAGGAAGUGUUUCCCCCCCUCCUUUUCCUUCAUUAUGCAGCCUUUACUUCAAUGGGACUACUCACAUGCUUAAAAUUAGGCACAUGCUUAAAUUACAUUGUAGAAUCAGGACCUUAACUAGGUAACAUAUUUUAAAGCAUUGUUCCUCCUAAUAGCAUAUAUCAUUUUGUCUGGUCAGCUAUAAUUUCAUUGUUAGGGACUGCAUUUAAAAGUCUUCGCGUCAUUAUCUGUAGGUGGCAGAAUCUACAAUGUAAUAUACUGUGCUGGAUCUGUCCAAGUCUCUUUUCCUCCUGAUUGUGGUAUACGAGCCUCAAAAUUUGCUACAUUUUG